Molecule: long non-coding RNA, 611 nt
Organism: Magnolia sinica
Lineage: Eukaryota; Viridiplantae; Streptophyta; Magnoliopsida; Magnoliales; Magnoliaceae
Exons: 5
Source: RefSeq, a predicted model, not a curated record
CAAGCGGCGAGGAUAAUAGCUAGGGCAAAAUCCCCGAAGAAGGGAGAAGAGAGAGCGAAGAAUGGUGAAGGGAAGGAUGGGAAGCACAACGGUGGAGAAAAUCGCAGAAGAGCUUCAUAAAGAGAUUGAAGAGCUCCAUAGACAGCAGUGGGAGAUCACAGAACGCCUUUGAGAUCCUAGAGGCAUCCGACGUGUUGGAUUGACUGCCAAUGGGCCACGCAACUUUGGCGGUCCCAAUGGAGUCCGUCGACGGGGUCUCAUCAGACCUGCGGAUAGGGUUGACUCUGAGGAUCAGUCUGCACCAAAGCGGCAGCUUUCUUCAGUAGUGGUCAAGGUUGAGGAAGGAGAACUCACGGAGGAUGCGGCUGGAGCAAAAGCUGCGAAGGAACCGAAUUUAACCACAGAAGGAGGACCUGCUGCAAUGGAAGCGACUGAUAGAAGGGCGUUCGAUCUGCAGCAGCGUGGCAGCUUUAGGAGGGAUGGGAAUCAGAGGGAGUUGAGGAUGAUGGACGUCGAAGCUCAACCAACGGAGCACGUGCCAAGGGUCUUGCCGAAAGAUAAAGACCCGAGUUUGGUUAAGAGGAACAGAAGAAUGUUGGGACAGCUGUUGG